UACGUAGGGUCCGAGCGUUGUCCGGAAUUACUGGGCGUAAAGAGCUCGUAGGUGGUUUGUCGCGUUGUUCGUGAAAACUCACAGCUUAACUGUGGGCGUGCGGGCGAUACGGGCAGACUUGAGUACUGCAGGGGAGACUGGAAUUCCUGGUGUAGCGGUGGAAUGCGCAGAUAUCAGGAGGAACACCGGUGGCUAAGGCGGGUCUCUGGGCAGUAACUGACGCUGAGGAGCGAAAGCGUGGGGAGCGAACAGG
This 253-nucleotide ribosomal RNA is filed under the name uncultured bacterium. RNAcentral's name for it is "partial 16S ribosomal RNA". It matches the Rfam family "Bacterial small subunit ribosomal RNA", at positions 524 to 776 of the family's 1533-position model. The record is from RNAcentral.